UACGUAGGGCGCAAGCGUUAUCCGGAUUUAUUGGGCGUAAAGAGCUCGUAGGCGGUUUGUCGCGUCUGCCGUGAAAGUCCGAGGCUCAACCUCGGAUCUGCGGUGGGUACGGGCAGACUAGAGUGAUGUAGGGGAGACUGGAAUUCCUGGUGUAGCGGUGAAAUGCGCAGAUAUCAGGAGGAACACCGAUGGCGAAGGCAGGUCUCUGGGCAUCUACUGACGCUGAGGAGCGAAAGCAUGGGGAGCGAACAGG
RNAcentral lists this ribosomal RNA (253 nucleotides) under uncultured bacterium. RNAcentral describes it as "partial 16S ribosomal RNA". It matches the Rfam family "Bacterial small subunit ribosomal RNA", at positions 524 to 776 of the family's 1533-position model. The record is from RNAcentral.